Molecule: ribosomal RNA, 429 nt
Filed under: Bacillota bacterium
Lineage: Bacteria; Bacillati; Bacillota
Description: Firmicutes bacterium partial 16S ribosomal RNA
Rfam family: Bacterial small subunit ribosomal RNA
Source: RNAcentral
UGGGGAAUUUUGGACAAUGGGGGCAACCCUGAUCCAGCCAUCCCGCGUGUGCGAUGAAGGCCUUCGGGUUGUAAAGCACUUUUGGCAGGGAAGAAAAGGCGCCGGAUAAUACCUGGCGCCGCUGACGGUACCUGCAGAAUAAGCACCGGCUAACUACGUGCCAGCAGCCGCGGUAAUACGUAGGGUGCAAGCGUUAAUCGGAAUUACUGGGCGUAAAGCGUGCGCAGGCGGUUCGGAAAGAAAGGUGUGAAAUCCCAGGGCUUAACCUUGGAACUGCACUUUUAACUACCGGGCUAGAGUAUGUCAGAGGGGGGUAGAAUUCCACGUGUAGCAGUGAAAUGCGUAGAGAUGUGGAGGAAUACCGAUGGCGAAGGCAGCCCCCUGGGAUAAUACUGACGCUCAUGCACGAAAGCGUGGGGAGCAAACAGG